UGGGGAAUUUUGGACAAUUGGGCGAAAGCCUGAUCCAGCAAUGCCGCGUGUGUGAAGAAGGCCUUCGGGUUGUAAAGCACUUUUGUCCGGAAAGAAAUCCUUGGCUCUAAUACAGUCGGGGGAUGACGGUACCGGAAGAAUAAGCACCGGCUAACUACGUGCCAGCAGCCGCGGUAAUACGUAGGGUGCAAGCGUUAAUCGGAAUUACUGGGCGUAAAGCGUGCGCAGGCGGUUUGCUAAGACCGAUNUGAAAUCCCGGGCUCAACCUGGGAACUGCAUUGGUGACUGGGCAGGCUAGAGUAUGGCAGAGGGGGGUAGAAUUCCACGUGUAGCAGUGAAAUGCGUAGAGAUGUGGAGGAAUACCGAUGGCGAAGGCAGCCCCUGGGCCAAUACUGACGCUCAUGCACGAAAGCGUGGGGAGCAAACAGGUUAGAUACCCCUGGUAGUCCACGCCCUAAACGAUGUCAACUAGUUGUUGGGGAUUCAUUUCCUUAGUAACUAGCUAACGCGUGAAGUUGACCGCCU
This 525-nucleotide ribosomal RNA is filed under the name uncultured bacterium. Its description in RNAcentral is "partial 16S ribosomal RNA". It matches the Rfam family "Bacterial small subunit ribosomal RNA", at positions 355 to 874 of the family's 1533-position model. The record is from RNAcentral.